CGUCGACACUGAGACAGGAAAGAUACUAGGGAGCCCGAAGGAUGAAGGGUUCGGUUCUGAUGAACGAAGUCGCAAAGGAGCGCAGCAGGUGGUCGAGUUGGAACU
This 105-nucleotide non-coding RNA is filed under the name uncultured Bolidomonas. Lineage: Eukaryota; Bolidophyceae. The record is from RNAcentral.